RNAcentral lists this ribosomal RNA (468 nucleotides) under uncultured bacterium. RNAcentral describes it as "partial 16S ribosomal RNA". It matches the Rfam family "Bacterial small subunit ribosomal RNA", at positions 28 to 507 of the family's 1533-position model. The record is from RNAcentral.
GACGAACGCUGGCGGCGUGCUUAACACAUGCAAGUCGAACGAAAAGGCCCUGCUUUUGUGGCGUGCUCGAGUGGCGAACGGGUGAGUGACACGUGAGUAUCCUCCCCUUGACUUUGUGAUAUCUUCAGGGAACUCGGGCUCAUACCGGGUAUAAGCUCCUGCUGCAUGGGGUUGGUUGGAAAGUUUCGGCGGUUGGGGAUCGUCUCGCGGCUUAUCCGCUUGUUGGUGGGGUAGUGGCUUACCAAGGGUUUGACGGGUAGCCUGCCUGAGAGGGGUAACGGCCACAUUGGGACUGAGGUAGGGACCAGACGCCUACGGGAGGCAGCAGGGGGGAAUAUUGCACAGUGGGCGGAAGCCUGAGGCAGCAACGCCGCGUGCGUGAUGACGGCUUUCGGGUGGUAAACAGAUGUCGCCGGUGACGAAGCGUGAGUGACGGUAAUGGGUAAAGAAGCACCGGCUAACUACGUG